UUUCCGUAGGUGAACCUGCGGAAGGAUCAUUACAGAGUUCAUGCCCUCACGGGUAGAUCUCCCACCCUUGAAUAUUUAUACCUUAGUUGCUUUGGCAGGCCGUGGAAACACCAUGGGCUCCGGCUUAUGCGUGCCUGCCAGAGGAAACAAACUCUGUUUUUAGUGAUGUCUGAGUACCAUAUAAUAGUUAAAACUUUCAACAACGGAUCUCUUGGUUCUG
This 220-nucleotide unclassified non-coding RNA is filed under the name plant metagenome. Its description in RNAcentral is "partial contains small subunit ribosomal RNA, internal transcribed spacer 1, and 5.8S ribosomal RNA". The record is from RNAcentral.